Cloeon dipterum is the source of this 722-nucleotide long non-coding RNA. RefSeq lists it as uncharacterized. The record is from RefSeq and is a predicted model, not a curated record. The transcript has 3 exons. NCBI's taxonomy places the organism in Eukaryota, Metazoa, Arthropoda, Insecta, Ephemeroptera, Baetidae.
ACACUUGCCUGGACUUAGCUCGUGCUUCUGUUGAGUUUGACAUCCUUGGUCUGGGUCCAUUUUGCGUCGAAUUGUUGCUGAACAAGUUCCUCACCGUGCAGAACAUUUGGAGCGUCUUUAACUCGAACUACGAAAUUUUUUUCAUUGCUGUGGCUUGUUUAAAAUUUCUGGCUAUGAAUACCAAGGAUUGCUUGGAAAACGAAAGUUUCUACGACCUUGAUGAAAUGCCAUAUAGGUUUUUCUUGACCCUGAAAGAGAUGGCCGAUGUUUCCGAGAUUGAGCUUGUCUCCAAAAUCCUCCAGAUCAGUGAAAGAAAAACUGAUCCACGAACAUUCUUCCGGAAUUGUUGCCUGCCGAAACUGCGCCUCCUUGCCCUGAAGGCUGAAGAUUUUCCCAACCUUAAGCAGCUUUUCUCCUACCUGUCACAAGAAGAGUUGCGAUACCUCACAAUUUACAACAGUCCUCUCAAACGCUGUUUGAAAACCCUUGCGCCACCGACAAUUUGUUCCGAUGCAUCCGAGAGGAGCACCAAGAGAGCUUGGACACUGACUCUUGUUCCUGAGGGCGACAUACAGAGUCUUAAAGAUAUAUUCAGGGCGGGAAAUUGGUUUGAGCCCAAGGGAAAUCUUGAAUUCUCGCUGGAGCUGCGCUCCAAAAAAAGCGUUAAACUCACUGGAUUUGAGAUUUUCUGCGAGUUGGAUUUGGAAAAGGAAUUUCUGGAA